This 468-nucleotide ribosomal RNA is filed under the name uncultured bacterium. RNAcentral describes it as "partial 16S ribosomal RNA". It matches the Rfam family "Bacterial small subunit ribosomal RNA", at positions 28 to 507 of the family's 1533-position model. The record is from RNAcentral.
GACGAACGCUGGCGGCGUGCUUAACACAUGCAAGUCGAACGGAAAGGCCCUGCUUUUGUGGGGUGCGCGAGUGGCGAACGGGUGUGAAACACGUGAGUAACCUGCCCUUGACUGUGGGAUAACUUCAGGAGACUGGGGCUAAUACCGGAUAGGAGCUCCUGCUGCAUGGUGGGGCUGGGAAAGUUUCGGCGGUUGGGGAUAGACUCGCGGCUUAUCAGUUUGUUGGUGGGGUAGUGGCUUACCAAGGCUUUGACGGGUAGCCGGCCUGAGAGGGUGACCGGCCACAUUGGUACUGAGAUACGGCCCAGACUCCUACGGUAGGCAGCAGUGGAGAAUAUUACACAAUGGGCGGAAGCCUGAUGCAACAACGCCGCGUGCGGGAAGACGGCCUUCGGGUUGUAAACCGCUUUCACCUGAGACGAAGCGUUAGUGACGGUACCUGAUAAAGAAGCACCGGCUAACUACGUG